RNAcentral lists this ribosomal RNA (492 nucleotides) under uncultured bacterium. Its description in RNAcentral is "partial 16S ribosomal RNA". It matches the Rfam family "Bacterial small subunit ribosomal RNA", at positions 29 to 507 of the family's 1533-position model. The record is from RNAcentral.
AGUGAACGCUGGCGGUAGGCCUAACACAUGCAAGUCGAACGGCAGCACAGUAAGAGCUUGCUCUUACGGGUGGCGAGUGGCGGACGGGUGAGGAAUACAUCGGAAUCUACUUUUUCGUGGGGGAUAACGUAGGGAAACUUACGCUAAUACCGCAUACGACCUACGGGUGAAAGCAGGGGAUCUUCGGACCUUGCGCGAUUGUAUGAGCCGAUGUCGGAUUAGCUAGUUGGCGGGGCAAAGGCCCACCAAGGCGACGAUCCGUAGCUGGUCUGAGAGGAUGAUCAGCCACCCUGGAUCUGAGACACGGUCCAGACUCCUACGGGAGGCAGCAGUGGGGAAUCUUGGGCAAUGGGCGCAAGCCUGAUCCAGCCAUACCGCGUGGGUGAAGAAGGCCUUCGGGUUGUAAAGCCCUUUUGUUGGGAAAGAAAAGCAGCAGGUUAAUACCCCGCUGUUCUGACGGUACCCAAAGAAUAAGCACCGGCUAACUUCGUG